RNAcentral lists this transfer RNA (67 nucleotides) under Alexandrium tamarense. Its description in RNAcentral is "partial Selenocysteine transfer RNA". The record is from RNAcentral. Lineage: Eukaryota; Dinophyceae; Gonyaulacales; Pyrocystaceae.
CGCGCGGUGGCGCGGCAGGGCUCCAAGCCCUUGGAGGUGUACCUUCCGCCCGGGAGGUGGUUUGACU